Molecule: ribosomal RNA, 255 nt
Filed under: uncultured bacterium
Lineage: Bacteria
Description: partial 16S ribosomal RNA
Rfam family: Bacterial small subunit ribosomal RNA
Source: RNAcentral
UACGUAGGGUCCGAGCGUUGUCCGGAAUUAUUGGGCGUAAAGAGCUCGUAGGCGGCUUGUCACGUCGGGUGUGAAAGCCCGGGGCUUAACCCCGGGUCUGCAUUCGAUACGGGCAGACUAGAGUGUGGUAGGGGAGACUGGAAUUCCUGGUGUAGCGGUGGAAUGCGCAGAUAUCAGGAGGAACACCGAUGGGCGAAGGCAGGUCUCUGGGCCACUACUGACGCUGAGAAGCGAAAGCAUGGGGGAGCGAACAGG